Molecule: ribosomal RNA, 468 nt
Filed under: uncultured bacterium
Lineage: Bacteria
Description: partial 16S ribosomal RNA
Rfam family: Bacterial small subunit ribosomal RNA
Source: RNAcentral
GACGAACGCUGGCGGCGUGCUUAACACAUGCAAGUCGAACGGAAAGGCCCUGCUUUUGUGGGGUGCUCGAGUGGCGAACGGGUGGGUAACACGUGAGUAACCUGCCCUUGACUUUGGGAUAACUUCAGGAAACUGGGGCUAAUACCGGAUAGGAGCUCCUGCUGCAUGGUGGGGGUUGGAAAGUUUCGGCGGUUGGGGAUGGACUCGCGGCUUAUCAGCUUGUUGGUGGGGUAGUGGCUUACCAAGGCUUUGACGGGUAGCCGGCCUGAGAGGGUGACCGGCCACAUUGGGACUGAGAUACGGCCCAGACUCCUACGGGAGGCAGCAGUGGGAAAUAUUGCACAAUGGGCGGAAGCCUGAUGCAGCAACGCCGCGUGCGGGAUGACGGCCUUCGGGUUGUAAACCGCUUUCGCCUGUGACGAAGCGUGAGUGACGGUAAUGGGUAAAGAAGCACCGGCUAACUACGUG